GCCCCAGACUCCUACGGGAGGCAGCAGUGGGGAAUAUUGCACAAUGGGGGAAACCCUGAUGCAGCGACGCCGCGUGAGCGAAGAAGUAUUUCGGUAUGUAAAUCUCUAUCAGCAGGGAAGAAAUUGACGGUACCUGAGUAAGAAGCUCCGGCUAAAUACGUGCCAGCAGCCGCGGUAAUACGUAUGGAGCAAGCGUUAUCCGGAUUUACUGGGUGUAAAGGGAGCGUAGGCGGCCUGCCAAGUCUGAUGUGAAAUAUCGGGGCUCAACCCCGGGGCUGCAUUGGAAACUGGCAGGCUGGAGUGUCGGAGAGGCAGGCGGAAUUCCUAGUGUAGCGGUGAAAUGCGUAGAUAUUAGGAGGAACACCAGUGGCGAAGGCGGCCUGCUGGACUGCAACUGACGUUGAGGCUCGAAGGCGUGGGGAGCAAACAGGAUUAGAUACCCCCGUA
This 447-nucleotide ribosomal RNA is filed under the name uncultured bacterium. Its description in RNAcentral is "partial 16S ribosomal RNA". It matches the Rfam family "Bacterial small subunit ribosomal RNA", at positions 328 to 792 of the family's 1533-position model. The record is from RNAcentral.